Molecule: ribosomal RNA, 407 nt
Filed under: uncultured bacterium
Lineage: Bacteria
Description: partial 16S ribosomal RNA
Rfam family: Bacterial small subunit ribosomal RNA
Source: RNAcentral
AACGAACGCUGGCGGCAUGCCUAACACAUGCAAGUCGAGCGGAGCGGCGGAAGGGUGAGUACUGCCUAGGAAUCUGCCUGGUAGUGGGGUAAAACGCCCGGAAACGGGCGACAAUACCGCAUACUAUCAGAUGAGCUUAGGGCGGAUUAGCUAGUUGGUGGGUGAAGGGCCUACCAAGGUGACGCUCGUUAACUGGUCUGAGAGGAUGCUCAGUCACACUGGAACUGAGACACGGUCCAGACUCCUACGGGAGGCAGGAGUGGGGAAUAUUGGGCAAGGGGCGAAAGCCUGAACCAGCCAUGCCGCGUGAGUGAAGAAGGUCUUCGGAUUGUAAAGCUCUUUAAGGUGGGAGGCGUUAACUACAGAGUAAGCACCGGCUAACUUCGUGCCAGCCGCCGCGGUAAUAC